Molecule: RNase P RNA, 400 nt
Filed under: Magnetococcales bacterium
Lineage: Bacteria; Pseudomonadati; Pseudomonadota; Magnetococcia; Magnetococcales
Description: RNase P RNA component class A
Rfam family: Bacterial RNase P class A
About the family: Ribonuclease P (RNase P) is a ubiquitous endoribonuclease, found in archaea, bacteria and eukarya as well as chloroplasts and mitochondria. Its best characterised activity is the generation of mature 5'-ends of tRNAs by cleaving the 5'-leader elements of precursor-tRNAs.
Source: RNAcentral
GAAGCGGGUCAGGCAAUCGCCGGCCGUCUCCACCGGAGGCGGCGGGAGGAAAGUCCGGGCUCCACAGGGCAGGGCGCCGGGUAACACCCGGCGGGGGCAACCCCAGGGAAAGUGCCACAGAGAGCAGACCGCCGGACGGUGCCUUUGUCUCAAAGGUUUCCGGCAAGGGUGAAAGGGUGCGGUAAGAGCGCACCGCGCUUCCCGGUAACGGGGGCGGCACGGAAAACCCCGCCUGGAGCAAGGCCGAAUAGGGGGAUGCCAAGGGCGGCUCGCCCGAAUCCCCGGGUUGGCUGCUGGAGGUGGUCGGUAACGGCCAUCCUAGAGGAAUGAUUGCCCAUCCCCACCGCAGACCGGGAGGUUGUGGGGUGGACAGAACCCGGCUUACAGACCCGCUUCGCCU